AACGAACGCUGGCGGCAUGCCUAACACAUGCAAGUCGAACGAGACCUUCGGGUCUAGUGGCGCACGGGUGCGUAACGCGUGGGAACCUGCCCUUAGGUUCGGAAUAACUCCCCGAAAGGGGUGCUAAUACCGGAUCAUGUCUUCGGACCAAGGAUUUAUCGCCUUUGGAUGGGCCCGCGUUGGAUUAGCUAGUUGGUAGGGUAAAAGCCUACCAAGGCGACGAUCCAUAGCUGGUCUGAGAGGAUGAUCAGCCACACUGGGACUGAGACACGGCCCAGACUCCUACGGGAGGCAGCAGUGGGGAAUAUUGGACAAUGGGCGAAAGCCUGAUCCAGCAAUGCCGCGUGAGUGAUGAAGGCCUUAGGGUUGUAAAGCUCUUUUACCCGGGAUGAUAAUGACAGUACCGGGAGAAUAAGCGCCGGCUAACUCCGUG
RNAcentral lists this ribosomal RNA (433 nucleotides) under uncultured bacterium. RNAcentral's name for it is "partial 16S ribosomal RNA". It matches the Rfam family "Bacterial small subunit ribosomal RNA", at positions 29 to 507 of the family's 1533-position model. The record is from RNAcentral.